GACGAACGCUGGCGGCGUGCUUAACACAUGCAAGUCGAACGGAAAGGCCCCUUUGGGGGUCCUCGAGUGGCGAACGGGUGAGUAACACGUGAGUAACCUGCCCUUGACUUCGGGAUAACUUCAGGAAACUGGGGCUAAUACCGGAUAGGAAUCCUUGCUGCAUGGUGGGGGUUGGAAAGCUUCGGCGGUUUUGGAUGGACUCGCGGCUUAUCAGCUUGUUGGUGGGGUAGUGGCUUACCAAGGCUUUGACGGGUAGCCGGCCUGAGAGGGCGACCGGCCACAUUGGGACUGAGAUACGGCCCAGACUCCUACGGGAGGCAGCAGUGGGGAAUAUUGCACAAUGGGCGGCAGCCUGAUGCAGCAACGCCGCGUGCGGGAUGACGGCCUUCGGGUUGUAAACCGCUUUCAGCAGGGGCGAAGCUUGUGGUGACGGUACCUGCAGAAGAAGCACCGGCUAACUACGUG
Molecule: ribosomal RNA, 465 nt
Filed under: uncultured bacterium
Lineage: Bacteria
Description: partial 16S ribosomal RNA
Rfam family: Bacterial small subunit ribosomal RNA
Source: RNAcentral